ACCCGUUGAUCCUGCGGGAGGGCACUGCUAUGAGGAUUCGACUUAACCAUGCAAGUCUAGGGGGCUAACUUCCUUCGGGAAGUCAGUCACCGGCAAAAUGCUCAGUAACACGUUGACAACCUACCCUUAAGUUUGGGACAACCUUGGGAAACUGAGGCUAAACCCGGAUAGGAGAAUUGUAUUUGAAGAUUAAUUCUCUCAAAGGUAACGCUUAAGGAUGGGUCAGCGGCUGAUUAGGCUGUUGGCGGGGUAAUGGCCCACCAAACCUAAGAUCAGUAGGGGUCUUGAGAGAGAUAGCCCCGAGAAGGACACUGAGAUAAGGGUCCUAGCCCCACGGGGUGCAGCAGGUGCGGAGCCUCUACAAUGCACGAAAGUGUGAUAGGGGAAUCCUCAGUGCUUAUACAAUGUAUAAGCUUUUCUUGAGAGCAAAUAUCUCGAGGAAUAAGUGGUGGGAAAGACUGGUGCCAGCCGCCGCGGUAACACCAGCGCCACAAGUGGUGUCCACGUUUAUUGGGCCUAAAGCGUCCGUAGCUGGUCAAGUGUGUCCUACGUGAAAUCGUUAGGCCUAACCUAACGGCGUGCGAAGGAAACUGCUAGACUAGGAACCGGGAGGAGUCAGAAGUAUUUCUGGGGGAGCGGUAAAAUGUGAUAAUCCCAGAAGGACUACCUGUAGCGAAGGCGUCUGACUAGAACGGAUUCGACAGUGAGGGACGAAAGCCAGGGUAGCAAAACGGAUUAGAUACCCGAGUAGUCCUGGCCGUAAACGCUGUGAGCUAGGCGUUGCAUGUUCCACGUGAACAUGCAGUGUCGUAACGAAGGUGUUAAGCUCACCGCCUGGGAAGUACGGUCGCAAGACUGAAACUUAAAGGAAUUGGCGGGGCGCACUACAACGAGUGCGGCGUGCGGUUUAAUCUAAAACCACGCAGAGAACCUUACCAGGGGCGACGGCAGAAUGAAAGUCAGGCUAACGGUCUUACUUAACAAGCCGAGAGGUAUUGCAUGCCCGCCGUCAGCUCGUGCCGCAAGGUGUCACGUUAAGUCGUGCAACGAGCAAGACCUGUAUCUACAAUUGCCAGCAGGUUCAUUAGAAUGACUGGGCCCAUUGUAGAGACUGCCUUGGAAACAAGGAGGAAGGUGCAGGCAACGGCAGGUCCGCAUGGUCCGAAUCUCCUGGGCUACACACGCGCAACAAUGACUGGGACAAUGGGACACAACUCCGAGAGGAGAAGUUAAUCCUCCAAACCCAGCCUUAGUUUAGAUCGAGCCUUGAAACUCAGGCUCGUGACAUCGGAAUUCGUAGUAAUCGGAUCUUAUCACAGUCCGGUGAAUAUGUCCCUGCGCCUUGCACACACCGCCCGUCAAGCCAUCCGAGCAGGGUUUGGGUGAGACUCAGCUGUAAUGGUUGUUCCGAACCCAAGCUCAGUGAAGCAGGCUAAGUCGUCACAAGGUA
RNAcentral lists this ribosomal RNA (1450 nucleotides) under metagenome. RNAcentral's name for it is "bacterial SSU rRNA". It matches the Rfam family "Archaeal small subunit ribosomal RNA". The record is from RNAcentral.